CUCAAGUGUCCAACGCUGACCGAGAAGUGGACGUAGUCCUCAUGUCUCCUGUCAGUGUGCAGACGGAAGCCUCGAGCUGAGAGACACUCGCAGCCUUUUGAAGCCAUUUAUUUUCUUAACGUGACAAUUGUGUUUGUUAUCAUCUCAACGUGCUGAGGUUGUCAAACUGGUUUACAACAGUUAGAGUGUGUGUGUGUGUCUCUCUGUGUGACGCUGAUUCAAAGUGAGAGCUUCUUGAUUGCAUCAACCCUCCAUGGAAUUAUUAACACACACACGCACACACACACACACACACACACACACACACACACACACACACACACACGUGAGUAAUUGAACGACUUCACGAUACGUAACACGAUGCAGUCGAGCACUUUAACACUUUUCUCUACAAAUAUGAAUUUGUGCAGAUGAGGCCGAGCGAAAGAUGAAUGAGCUCGUUUGUGUUUGAAGGUUGUUUCACCCUGAAAAGUUUUUAAAAAGCUGCCGGCUCUUUGAAGAGGAAGCCCGGGGGGGGAAACAAGUCAACAACAGUUUCAGGUUAAAAUACGAGGUAAAACAUCCUUAAUCAUAAAUGAUUCUGACUUUAAACUCAUCUGGACAGAACGCUACAUGUUGCUUUAUGCGAGGGAGGAAAGAACCUUGAAGGAACAAUCACUGGUCCUCUCUUCUGUGAACAACGAGCGCACGAUCCCACUUUCAGUGCCAGUGGUUUCAGGAGCUGCUAGGCCAAGCUAAGCUAAGCUAAGCUAGCUGCAUGUCCUGAACCUGUCUCUGUCCAAUGAGGGAAGGAAUACACAGAAACACUCACACCAAUGGAGCCUGUUGGCAUGGAUCAGGAUCGGGAUCAGGAUCAGAGUCAGGAUCAGGAUCAGGAUCAAGAUCAGGGUCAGUGUCAAGAUCAGGAUCAGGAUCAGGAUCAGGGUCAGGAUCAGGAUCAGGAUCAGGAUCAGAGUCAGGAUCAGGAUCAGUGUCAGGAUCAGGAUCAAGAUCAGGAUCAGAGUCAGGAUCAGGAUCAGUGUCAGGAUCAGAAUCAAGAUCAGGGUCAGGAUAAGGAUCAGGAUAAGGGUCAGGAUCAGGAUAAGGCUCAGGGUCAAGAUAAGGAUCAGGAUAAGGGUCAGGAUCAGGAUCAGGAUAAGGAUAAGGAUCAGGAUCAGGGUCAGGAUCAGGAUCAGGAUCAGUGUCAGGAUCAGGAUCAAGAUCAGGGUCAGGAUAUGGAUCAGGAUAAGGAUCAGGAUAAGGGUCAGGAUCAGGAUAUGGAUCAGGAUCAGGGUCAGGAUCAGGAUCAGGAUCAAGAUAACGAUCAGGAUCAGGGUCAGGAUCAGUGUCAGGAUAAGGAUCAGGGUGAGGAUCAAGGUCAGGAUCAGGGUCAGGGUUACACAUGAGGAUGUUAUAAGCUGAAGACGAGCAGCAUGUCCUCACACAAACAACCGUCUCACUGCUUCUAGAAGACUGGAUGGAAAUAAUACGAUAACCAAGAUGAUCUCAGUGAAAACAACCACUGCUUUGUGUGGAGACGAGUCCCUCAGGGGGGGGGGGUCAGGGUGAAUUUAGAGGGCGGAGUCCUUCGUCAGGUGGUCCUUCUGUGUUUAAAGGGGCCGAGGCUGCUGGGAAGAAACCGAGGGGGACAAACAGUUCAUUAUUCUAAUUUCCUCAUAAUGACUUCAUGGUUGAUGCAUCACCAUCUGGAACACACACACACACACACACACACACACACACACUGUGAUAAUGCAGCCAUUGAGUCUAAUGACAACGCACCGCUUGUCGUAAUGAGACUCUUUCUGCCGCGAAGCAUCAUGGGUAAACAGCUUGCACCUUUUGGAGGGAGGAGUCGACCGGACGUCGGGUUGCCAGAUAGUAAAUGGAGAGGGCGCCGCGUUGCCAGGUCCUCGGUGACACCCGACCUGUUCAGUGUUGAGUUUGAAUCAGCACGGUGAAUCAGGCCGAGUGUGUUGGUGCGUGUGUGUGUGUAAGUGUGUGUAUGUGUGUGUGUGUAAGUGUGCGCCGUGCUCAGACAGAGGCACUCGAGCUAAAUUGCCCCCCCGGUGCCCACAAUGCCUCUGGAGCUGGCAGUAGUGUCUGAGUGCGUCUGUCUGUGUGUUUAGACCUCACGAUGCCGCGCUGCAACAAACAGCUGCUUCGCUGUGACCCCUUCUGUCGUCUCCACGGCAACCGGCGGGGGGGACGGCGACCGUUGCAAAAAGAUAGGCAACUUUGGACGCGGCGGAUCCACAGGGGGACGACAGCUUUGCGUUAUUCAUAAAACCUUUACUGGGAUGACGACUUGCCGAGCAGAGGAGUGAUUACCUGAACCUCCGGUUCUGUAGAGAGAGCCUUGCAUUCUAUGUAGUGACCAGCAGGGGGCGCCACCUCGGGUCAGAAGUUUAUGAGAAAAUGACUCUUAUAUUAUUAUGUCCUCAGUGAAGAUUGUAAACAUGAGUUUAUGGUCUCAGUCCUACAUACAUCCAGCAUGAUGUUCAUUUGGUGAGUUAUGGUCCAUUUAGAGUCAAACACACCAUAAAGCAGGGGACGCUUUAGGGCGGGGCUACCUGCUGAUUGACAGGUCUCCACUUCUCUCAACCUCACUUUUGUUCAUUGGUGGCAAAACAUAUGAUAUCAAGUUUACAUCCCUAUCUGACGUCCACAGGCAUAACACAUGUAUGUUAACAUGACAGAACGUAACAUAACACAUAUAUGUUAACAUGACAGAACGUAACAUAACACAUGUAUGUUAACAUAACAGAACGUAACAUAACACAUGUAUGUUAACAUGACAGAACGUAACAUAACACAUAUAUGUUAACAUGACCGCUGGUUUAAUAACUUGACAGAAGGCGGAACACAUGUUUCUCUUUUCUCCAGUUAUUUCUGAAUGAAUGUUGUUCACCUUCAUCACUGUGUCGUUUGUAAAAAAAACUAUGAUUUAUUCCUUUCAGUUGCGUCAUCUUUUGUUGAGAGAGAGGGAGAGAGUGAGGGAGGGAGAGAGACAGAGAUCCCCCCCCCCCCCCCCUCAUCUUCCCCUCUGCUGGACUCCACCCGCCUCCAAGGGCCCUGAAGGCGGAAGCAAAUGAACAAACUAAACGCACCAUCUGAGCCCAGAGCAGCCGGGGGGAGCGCUUCAUUCAUGCUACAGAGCCUCCCCGUUUAACCCAGCACAGCCCUGUAGCACACAGAUGUUUACUACUCUGCAUCGACAUCCACUUGUGUUUAUAAAGAAAGAGAUGAAACGUGUCGGUUUAAAGUAUCGUACACAUGUUCUGUUCAUAAAGGGACUUUGUCUACAAUAUGUCUUAAAUGAAACAUUUCUGCAACAAAAUGAUCCCAGACCUCUAAACUUGUUUCCGAUGACCUUUUUAGUUUGGCUUGACUCUUCAAGGUCCUGGUCUUGAAAUACUUUAGUCUUGUUCUUGAUAGACUCUGGUCUUGGUCUUGAUAGAUUUUACUCUUGUUCUUGAUAGACUCUGGUCUUGGUCUUGAUAGACUUUAGUCUUGUUCUUGAUAGACUCUGGUCUUGGUCUUGAUAAACUCUGGUCUUGGUCUUGAUAGACUUUAGUCUUGUUCUUGAUAGACUCAGGUCUUGUUCUUGAUAGACUCUGGUCUUGGUCUUGAUAAACUCUGGUCUUGGUCUUGAUAGACUUUAGUCCUAGUCUUGAUAGACUUUAGUUUUGUUCUUGAUAGACUCUGGUCUUGGUCUUGAUAGACUUUAGUCCUGGUCUUGAUAGACUUUAGUCUUGUUCUUGAUAGACUCUGGUCUUGGUCUUGAUAGACUUUAGUCCUGGUCUUGAUAGACUCAGGUCUUGGUCUUGAUAGACUUUAGUUUUGUUCUUGAUAGACUCAGGUCUUGUUCUUGAUAGACUCUGGUCUUGGUCUUGAUAGACUUUAGUUUUGUUCUUGAUAGACUCUGGUCUUGGUCUUGAUUGACUUUAGUCCUGGUCUUGAUAGACUUUAGUCUUGUUCUUGAUAGACUCUGGUCUUGGUCUUGAUAGACUUUAGUCCUGGUCUUGAUAGACUCAGGUCUUGGUCUUGAUAGACUUUAGUUUUGUUCUUGAUAGACUGUGGUCUUGGUCUUGAUAGACUGUGGUCUUGGUCUUGAUAAACUCUGGUCUUGGUCUUGAUAGACUUUUUCUUGGUCUUGAUUUGAUUAGUACCCCUGGAAGUCUUGGUCUUGCCGUUAUCGACCCCUCAUAGUCUUGGUCUUAGGAGAAUCUGGUCUCUUGGUCUUGACUUGAUAUCUACCCCUUGAAUCCUGCAACACCCUCUUUUCUACCUGGCCGGCCUGAAUCCUCGCCCCCCCAAACUGUUCCUGCUCCUCCAGAGGUACUCAUGACUGCUUCGCGUGCCAGCGGACUCACGUAUCACAGCUACGAUAAACCC
Molecule: long non-coding RNA, 4377 nt
Organism: Gasterosteus aculeatus aculeatus (three-spined stickleback)
Lineage: Eukaryota; Metazoa; Chordata; Actinopteri; Perciformes; Gasterosteidae
Source: Ensembl